AAAGUAGACAAGGCGGUCGUCGGCUCUUUUUUUUAAGUAAAAAGGGCGGGAGGAAAGUCCGAGCUCCACAGGACACAGUGCUCCGUAACGCGGAGUCCCGGCAACGGGAAGGAAAGUGCAACAGAAAAUAUACCGUUCCAUUUUUUAGUGGAAUAAGGGUGAAAUGGCGGGGUCGUUUCCCCGGUAAAAAGUCCGGGUCUGAACUGACUUAAUGUAAGAGCCCACCGCUCCGGUGGUGACAUCGGAGGCAUGGCAAACCCCACUGGGAGAAAGGUUAAAUAGAGAGGGAUGAAGUGGUCCGCUUCGGUAGCACCUCUGGGUAAACCGUUUGAUCUCGCUGGCAACGACGAGACUAGAUAAAUGACCGCCCACGACAGAACUCGGCUUAUUGUCUACUUAAAAA
Candidatus Brocadia fulgida is the source of this 403-nucleotide non-coding RNA. It matches the Rfam family "Bacterial RNase P class A". Rfam says of the family: Ribonuclease P (RNase P) is a ubiquitous endoribonuclease, found in archaea, bacteria and eukarya as well as chloroplasts and mitochondria. Its best characterised activity is the generation of mature 5'-ends of tRNAs by cleaving the 5'-leader elements of precursor-tRNAs. The record is from Rfam. Lineage: Bacteria; Pseudomonadati; Planctomycetota; Candidatus Brocadiia; Candidatus Brocadiales; Candidatus Brocadiaceae.